GAUCCUGGCUCAGGAUUAACGCUGGCGGCAUGCCUAAGACAUGCAAGUCGAACGGAACACCCCACUGAAACUUGAAUGAAGUUAGAGAGCUUGCUCGAAGAUGGAAUGACGGUGGACGUGGGAUUCUGUGUUCAGUGGCGAACGGGUGAGUAACACGUGGGUUACCUGCCUCUAAGUUGGGGACAACAGUUGGAAACGACUGCUAAUACCGAAUGUGAUAGUAAUAUUAAAGGAGCCUUUAAAGCUUACG
Molecule: ribosomal RNA, 250 nt
Filed under: uncultured bacterium
Lineage: Bacteria
Description: partial 16S ribosomal RNA
Rfam family: Bacterial small subunit ribosomal RNA
Source: RNAcentral